RNAcentral lists this ribosomal RNA (900 nucleotides) under uncultured bacterium. RNAcentral describes it as "bacterial SSU rRNA". It matches the Rfam family "Bacterial small subunit ribosomal RNA", at positions 545 to 1446 of the family's 1533-position model. The record is from RNAcentral.
UNGGAAUUACUGGGCGUAAAGCGAGCGCAGACGGUUACUUAAGCAGGAUGUGAAAUCCCCGGGCUCAACCUGGGAACUGCGUUCUGAACUGGGUAGCUAGAGUAUNUCAGAGGGGGGUAGAAUUCCACGUGUAGCAGUGAAAUGCGUAGAGAUGUGGAGGAAUACCGAUGGCGAAGGCAGCCCCCUGGGUUAAUACUGACGUUCAUGCUCGAAAGCGUGGGUAGCAAACAGGAUUAGAUACCCUGGUAGUCCACGCCCUAAACGAUGUCGAUUAGCUGUUGGGCAACUUGAUUGCUUAGUAGCGUAGCUAACGCGUGAAAUCGACCGCCUGGGGAGUACGGUCGCAAGAUUAAAACUCAAAGGAAUUGACGGGGACCCGCACAAGCGGUGGAUGAUGUGGAUUAAUUCGAUGCAACGCGAAGAACCUUACCUGGUCUUGACAUGUACGGAAGAACUCAGAGACGAGUUUGUGCCUUCGGGAGCCGUAACACAGGUGCUGCAUGGCUGUCGUCAGCUCGUGUCGUGAGAUGUUGGGUUAAGUCCCGCAACGAGCGCAACCCUUGUCAUUAGUUGCCAUCAUUUAGUUGGGCACUCUAAUGAGACUGCCGGUGACAAACCGGAGGAAGGUGGGGAUGACGUCAAGUCCUCAUGGCCCUUAUGACCAGGGCUUCACACAUCAUACAAUGGUCGGUACAGAGGGUAGCCAAGCCGCGAGGUGGAGCCAAUCCCAGAAAACCGAUCGUAGUCCGGAUUGCACUCUGCAACUCGAGUGCAUGAAGUCGGAAUCGCUAGUAAUCGCAGGUCAGCAUACUGCGGUGAAUACGUUCCCGGGUCUUGUACACACCGCCCGUCACACCAUGGGAGUGGGGGAUACCAGAAGUAGGUAGGGUAACCGCAAGG